This is a long non-coding RNA of Passer domesticus (house sparrow), 986 nucleotides long. RefSeq lists it as uncharacterized. Lineage: Eukaryota; Metazoa; Chordata; Aves; Passeriformes; Passeridae. The transcript is spliced from 3 exons. The record is from RefSeq and is a predicted model, not a curated record.
ACAGGAAGGACAUGGAACUGUUGGAGAGAGUCCAGAGGAGGCCAUGGAAGUGCUGAGGCGACUGGAGCACCUCCCCUGUGGAGCCAGGCUGGGAGAGCUGGGGCUGCUCAGCCUGGACAGAAGGUUUUGUGGAGACUCCAGAGCAUCUUCCAGGGUCUGAGGGGCUGCAGGGAACCCAGAGAGAGACAAUUCCUCAGGAACUGCAGUGACAGGACAGGGGGGAACAGUGUCUCAUCAGCUUCACAAGCUCCUUGUUCCAAAGGUCAUGUGUAAUGUGAGAGGACUCAAAUUCUACCACACCCUAGAAAGGAAACCUUUCCAGUGGUCACUUCUACAUAAAGAAAAAUGAUCUCCUGAUUUCCAAAAACUCACAGGUAGGAACUAGAAAUUAUUUACAGCUUUCUCCCUCCAGGGGGUAUCACAUCUUUGUCUCUGUUGAAAUACAAACUACACAACUUGAAGUCCAGGCCCCAUGGAUAAAUCAGACUUUUAUGGUAAAUGGAGAAGAAUUUGACUGUAGGAAAAAUCAGAGUUUCAGAAUUCUGAAAUUGGAGCAGUGUUCUCAGAAAUACAUUCUUGAGAUCUCUUCUGUUAACGGGCCAUGGAGUCUCACUUCCUAACUGAUAAGAAUGACAUCAUCCCAUUGGGAGAUGCUCUGCCCAGCGGGAGGAGCCAAGCAUUCCUACUUGGAUAUAAUCUGAGAUUUUGAGACACCAGGACAGCUUUUCCACUGAAUUCCCAGAGGAAGACCAGCCCCAUCUACACCACCACUGGAUCUUCAGAGGAAAACUCCACCCUUCUACAGGAUCCCUGCUCCAACAGAACCACAGCUGGCACUGCAGGAGGGCUGCAGCCACCAUUUAAUGGGACUGCUGCCAAUACCCUGACCCACAGGGUGUCAGCUCCUAUUCUGACUCUGUCAAUGUUGUUUUAUAUUACUGCACUUUAUUCUUCCUAAUACAGAACUGUUAUUCUGACUAGCAUAU